UGGGGGAUAUUGCACAAUGGGCGGAAGCCUGAUGCAGCAACGCCGCGUGAAGGAAGACGGUUUUCGGAUUGUAAACUUCUGUUCUUAGUGAAGAAGAAAAUGACGGUAGCUAAGGAGCAAGCCACGGCUAACUACGUGCCAGCAGCCGCGGUAAUACAGAGACUGCAAGCGUUACUCGGAUUCACUGGGCGUAAAGGGAGCGCAGGCGGAAUCGUGUGUCGGAUGUGAAACCCGGGGGCUCAACUCCCGGACUGCGCCUGAAACUGCGAUUCUAGGGACUCGGAGGGGCCAGUGGAAUUCUUGGUGGAGCAGUGAAAUGCGUAGAUAUCAAGAGGAACACCAACGGCGAAGGCAGCUGGCUGGACGGGAUCCGACGCUCAGGCUCGAAAGUAUGGGGAGCAAAAA
This 405-nucleotide ribosomal RNA is filed under the name uncultured bacterium. RNAcentral's name for it is "bacterial SSU rRNA". It matches the Rfam family "Bacterial small subunit ribosomal RNA", at positions 355 to 774 of the family's 1533-position model. The record is from RNAcentral.